UAUUGUGGGUAACACUGCUCUCACAGGGGUGGUGGGAGUACUCAUGGAUGACUCGGAUCACCCCCAAGGUAAAUAUAUAUUGUGUAACUCGCAGAUUUAUUCAUUGUACAGGUCAUACUAUAAGUGGCCACUGGCAUUUGUUUUGUAUUCAUGUUCCGGGGUUGGGCAGCGCAUACCGGAAGUGGUAUAAACACGGCAACUGUCAUUGAUUGAAACCAGGAGUUUGUGUGCGCAUGGAAAGUUUCAGAUGAGACGUGAGCAGAACGGAGGUGUACCUGUUGCCCGUCAAGAAUUUGCACCCUUGGCAGGCGAAGCGAGGUAUCGUUUGCUACGUUUUUACUGAACAUUCAUACUUCGUAUAAUCUAAAUGAAAUGCAAAAUUGUAUUUAUAUGCUCUGCUCGUUCGAUCCUAUUUGUUAUAAUAAAUGAAAUUGUUUGUA
Stegastes partitus (bicolor damselfish) is the source of this 440-nucleotide long non-coding RNA. RefSeq lists it as uncharacterized. NCBI's taxonomy places the organism in Eukaryota, Metazoa, Chordata, Actinopteri, Pomacentridae. The transcript is spliced from 2 exons. The record is from RefSeq and is a predicted model, not a curated record.